Molecule: ribosomal RNA, 460 nt
Filed under: uncultured bacterium
Lineage: Bacteria
Description: partial 16S ribosomal RNA
Rfam family: Bacterial small subunit ribosomal RNA
Source: RNAcentral
CCUACGGGAGGCUGCAGUGAGGAAUAUUGGUCAAUGGGCGCAAGCCUGAACCAGCCAAGUAGCGUGAAGGAUGACUGCCCUACGGGUUGUAAACUUCUUUUAUAAAGGAAUAAAGUGAGGCACGUGUGCCUUUUUGUAUGUACUUUAUGAAUAAGGAUCGGCGAACUCCGUGCCAGCAGCCGCGGUAAUACGGAGUGUCCGGGCGUUAUCCGGAUUUCUUGGGUUUAAAGGGAGCGUAGAUGGGUUGUUAAGUCAGUUGUGAAAGUUUGCGGCUCAACCGUAAAAUUGCAAUUGAUACUGGCAGUCUUGAGUACAGGUGAGGUAGGCGGAAUUCGUGGUGUAGCGGUGAAAUGCUUAGAUAUCACGAAGAACUCCGAUUGCGAAGGCAGCUUACUAAACUGCAACUGACAUUGAUGCUCGAAAGUGUGGGUAUCAAACAGGAUUAGAUACCCCGGUAGUC